AGAUUCCACUCUCAAAAUGUCAGGCGUUGACUUUUCUAGCCCCACAAUCGACUUUUCCCAAACUGUUUGAUUCCCGAUUCCAGUGAUCAAUUGAAGCACUUCUGGCUUAAAUAAAAAGCUGAUUUUUUGUAUGUAGACCCUUGUGGACAUAUGGAGGGCCAUGGAAAAGAGUUUCGACCAAAGAAUCAGAAAUAAACUGAUUUUAUACCAAACCCUAAUUUAGGGCAAAAUUGAUCAAGAACUGAUUGCA
RNAcentral lists this long non-coding RNA (250 nucleotides) under Lathyrus oleraceus (garden pea). RNAcentral describes it as "Pisum sativum (pea) long non-coding RNA (PSAT_LNC028032)". Lineage: Eukaryota; Viridiplantae; Streptophyta; Magnoliopsida; Fabales; Fabaceae. The record is from RNAcentral.